AAACUACAAGGAGGAUAUCAACAGUUUUCUAGUGUUCUUUGCCUGCAGUGGUGUAUAAGCAACUCUGCAAUCCAAUUUGUGAACAGUACAAGCUGCAAUGGGAGCUGUCAUUCUGCAUCACUCAGCCAAGGCCCCCAGAUGCUCACCAGCCACAAAGCUGACUACAUGUCACCGGAGGUCACCUCAAACAGGUGAAAUGUGUUUGCGAUCAUCACUGUCAGACUGUCAUAGAACUGCCAGCAAGCCGGAAGAAUCUGUUAUUCACACAGUCCUAGUCACAAACACAGGGGAAGGUGACUACAUAACUGCUUACAGCUAACUGCAACAUUUAUUCUAAUUAUAUGCAAUGCCAUUUUG
This is a long non-coding RNA of Mauremys reevesii (Reeves's turtle), 357 nucleotides long. RefSeq lists it as uncharacterized. The record is from RefSeq and is a predicted model, not a curated record. The transcript is spliced from 3 exons. NCBI's taxonomy places the organism in Eukaryota, Metazoa, Chordata, Testudines, Geoemydidae.